Molecule: ribosomal RNA, 486 nt
Filed under: uncultured bacterium
Lineage: Bacteria
Description: bacterial SSU rRNA
Rfam family: Bacterial small subunit ribosomal RNA
Source: RNAcentral
AGCCUGACGCAGCGACGCCGCGUGCGGGAUGAAGGCCUUCGGGUCGUAAACCGCUUUCAGCAGGGACGAUAGUGACGGUACCUCCAGAAGAAGCCCCGGCCAAAUACGUGCCAGCAGCCGCGGUAAUACGUAGGGGGCGAGCGUUGUCCCGAUUUACUGGGCGUAAAGAGCUCGUAGGCGGUUUGGUAAAUCGGGUGUGAAAUAUCCAGGCUCAACCUGGAGCGGCCACUCGAUACUGCCAUGACUAGAGUUCGGUAGAGGAGUGUGGAAUUCCCGGUGUAGCGGUGAAAUGCGCAAAUAUCGGGAGGAACACCCGUAGCGAAGGCGGCACUCCGGGCCGACACUGACGCUGAGGAGCGAAAGCCGUGGGGAGCGAACAGGAUUAGAUAACCCUGGUAGUUCCACCGCCCGAAAACGUUGGGCACUAGGUGUGGGGCUCUAUCAACGCCUUCCGUGCCGUAGCUAACGCAUUAAGUCCCCCGCCUG